UGAACUUUCAAUGUGUCAGCAUAUGGUCUGUAAACUAUGAGAUUUUUCCAAUGAGGGAAUAAUUUAUUAAAAAACAAAUAAGAGAAUAUGGACUGUUUUGUUUUGAGGGCCGAUUAUUGAGAACAUUGAGGUUGAGCUUAGGAGAUGUUUAAAUUGAGAUAUUUGAGGACAUUAGAGUUUAUGAUUUAGACUCAAUUAUAUCUUAUGAGAAAUUUAUUGAUGAUUUUAGGUUGAAGAUAUCAGUACGCAUUCGUUACAUGAGGAUGCCAAGAGGUAAGUAAACUAGACUUUUAAAUGAAUCACAAUAAACAAUAUAUAUGUUUUACUUGUGUGAAAAGUCUAUUUUGAUAUGUACGAAUAUGGAUUUAUGUGUCUCAUAUGUUUAUGUGAUGUGUUGUUAUGUAUUGGGUGUGAUUAUGUACAUGGGCAUAUGUAUGUGUGAUGGUUCAUUAGCAUGAGCACGAAAAUGCAUUGAGUUUUAUAUGAAUGAGAAAGUAGAUUUUAGCAAAUGGGAUUUAUGUUUUAUGAGAUUUUGCAUUGGGGGCCACCUCUUGAAGUUGUAUGGGGGCCAUCUCUUGAGGGCCAGAGCGCCGCAAAGUGCCACGCACAACGCAAAGUGCUACAAUUGUAGAAUAUGUAUUUCAUUGAAAAAAAAAUGAGAAAGUUUGAAAGCGAC
RNAcentral lists this long non-coding RNA (676 nucleotides) under Citrus maxima (pomelo). Its description in RNAcentral is "long non-coding RNA (CMAX_LNC000855)". The record is from RNAcentral. Lineage: Eukaryota; Viridiplantae; Streptophyta; Magnoliopsida; Sapindales; Rutaceae.